Trifolium pratense (red clover) is the source of this 2165-nucleotide RNA transcript. It is a transcript of the gene named calnexin homolog, with no coding region annotated. The record is from RefSeq and is a predicted model, not a curated record. Lineage: Eukaryota; Viridiplantae; Streptophyta; Magnoliopsida; Fabales; Fabaceae. The transcript is spliced from 7 exons.
AACUGCUCUUUCAUCUCGUGUUCGUUCGAACAACAAACACUCUCACACAACUGCUCUCUCAUAUUCUAUCUAUUCAAUAACAACUUUUUCUAUAAUUUCAUUUCAUCGUUAGGGUUUCAUUUCAUCGCGCGAUAUGGGAGAACGAAAGCGAAUUCCUCUUGGAAUCUUUGCACUUCUCUUUUUCGUCAUUUCUACCUCUUCGUUACAUCUUCUCCAUGCUUCCGAUGAUAUCUAUGACGCUACCUUCUACGAAUCAUUUGAUGAAGAUUUUGAUGGCCGUUGGAUUGUUUCCGAGAAGGAUGAGUACAACGGUGUCUGGAAGCAUGCAGCGAAUGAGGGGCAUGAAGAUUACGGGCUUCUUGUCAGUGAGAAAGCAAGGAAAUAUGCUAUAGUCAAAGAACUUGAUGAGCCUGUGAUUCUUAAGGAUGAAUCAGUUGUUCUCCAGUUUGAGACUCGCCUACAGAAGGGCCUUGAAUGCGGUGGUGCAUAUCUAAAGUAUCUUCGACCACAGGAGGCCGGUUGGAAACCGAAGGAAUUUGACAACGAUUCUCCAUAUUCUAUAAUGUUUGGUCCUGACAAGUGUGGGGCCACAAACAAGGUGCACUUCAUUUUCAAGCAUAAGAAUCCUAAGAGUGGGGCGUAUGUUGAACACCAUCUCAAGUUUCCUCCAUCUGUUCCUUCUGACAAGCUAUCUCACGUGUACACUGCUAUUUUAAAACCUGACAAUGAGUUGCAAAUUUUGAUUGACGGGGAACAGAAGAAAAAGGCAAAUUUCUUAUCAUCUGAGGAUUUUGAGCCUGCUCUUAUCCCUCCCAAGACAAUCCCAGAUCCUGAUGAUAAUAAACCUGAGGACUGGGACGAGAGAGAGAAAAUUCCAGACCCAAGUGCAGUAAAGCCAGAUGACUGGGAUGAGGAUGCACCCUUGGAAAUUGUUGAUGAAGAAGCUGAGAAACCUGAAGGAUGGUUGGAUGAUGAGCCUGAGGAGAUAGAUGACCCUGAGGCUACAAAACCAGAAGAUUGGGACGAUGAGGAGGAUGGUGAAUGGGAAGCCCCAAAGGUUACUAACCCAAAUUGUGAAACAGCCCCUGGUUGUGGUGAAUGGAAAAGGCCAAUGAAGAAGAAUCCAGCAUAUAAGGGAAAAUGGCAUGCCCCCCUUAUUGAAAACCCAGCUUAUAAGGGUAUAUGGAAGCCUCAGGACAUUCCCAACCCUGCUUACUUUGAACUUAAAAAACCUGAUUUUGAACCUAUUGCUGCUAUUGGUAUUGAGAUUUGGACAAUGCAGGAUGGCAUAUUGUUUGACAAUAUUUUGAUAGCUAAAGAUGAUAAGAUUGCCGCAUCAUACAGGGAGACUACAUGGAAGCCCAAGUUUAUUAUUGAGAAAGAAAAACAGAGGCAAGAAUCGGAUACUGGAUCAAGUGGUCUUGCAAUCAUCCAAAAGAAGGUGUUUGACCUGUUAUACAAGUUCGCAGACAUUCCUUUCCUGAGUGCCUACAAGUUUGAAAUACGUAAUCUCAUUGAAAAGGGUGAAUCGCAGCCGAAUCUCACUGUCGGAAUUCUUGUAGCCGUUGUGGUUCUUAUCGUGACAAUUUUCCUCAAUAUUAUAUUCGGUGGGAAGAAAAAGCCUGCAAGAGUGGAGAAGAAGACAAAAACACCAGCUGCAGAAACUUCCACUAACCAAGGCAGUGCAGAGAAUGAAGAAAACAAAGAGGAGGAAACAUCCAAGGGUCCACGUCGGAGGGUAAAGCGAGAUAAUUGAAAUGAUUUAAACCAGACAGGGGCGGCCGAACAAGAUCACUACCACAAAAAUUUUGAGCUUAGUUGGAGAUUAGGUUAAACAAAGUGGUAGGAGUGAAGAGAGAACUGCAAAAGUGGGGUUGAUGAAUGUUGAAUUGCGCGGGACGCAGCUUUGUCUGUGCGGCACGCAAUGAUUUUGCAAAUUGUUGGAGGAUAUCCCCAGCAACGAUAACAAAAACUUGUUAACAAUCUACCAAUGAAAACUUUUGAGAGUGUUGCGCGAGAUAACUAGUGCACUUGCUAGAUUGUCAACAAGUUUUUACAUCUUUCUAAUUGUAACAAGAAAUAAAAGAUGUUUGUAAUCAAUCAUCUCAAACUUACAAAUUAUCUCCAAUUUAAAAGUUAUUUUCCUUGACAAAUGAUUUCCAGUC